GAUGAAGAACGCAGCGAAAUGCGAUAAGUAGUGUGAAUUGCAGAAUUCAGUGAAUCAUCGAAUCUUUGAACGCACAUUGCGCCCUUUGGUAUUCCUUAGGGCAUGCCUGUUCGAGCGUCAUUUAAACCUUCAAGCUAAGCUUGGUGUUGGGUGACUGUCCGCUUCACGGCGGACUCGCCUCAAAAUUAUUGGCGGCCGGUACAUUGGCUUCGAGCGCAGCAGAAACGCGAACUCGGGCCCGUCGUAUUGGCUCCCAGAAGCUAUCUUCACAAUUUUGACCUCGGAUCAGGUAGGGAUACCCGCUGAACUUAAGCAUAUCAAUAAGCGGACGA
RNAcentral lists this unclassified non-coding RNA (332 nucleotides) under soil metagenome. RNAcentral's name for it is "partial contains 5.8S ribosomal RNA, internal transcribed spacer 2, and large subunit ribosomal RNA". The stretch from base 1 to 120 matches the Rfam family "5.8S ribosomal RNA", at positions 35 to 154 of the family's 154-position model. The record is from RNAcentral.